RNAcentral lists this ribosomal RNA (204 nucleotides) under uncultured Streptococcus sp. RNAcentral's name for it is "partial 16S ribosomal RNA". It matches the Rfam family "Bacterial small subunit ribosomal RNA", at positions 294 to 491 of the family's 1533-position model. Lineage: Bacteria; Bacillati; Bacillota; Bacilli; Lactobacillales; Streptococcaceae. The record is from RNAcentral.
GAGAGGGCGAACGGCCACAUUGGGACUGAGACACGGCCCAAACUCCUACGGGAGGCAGCAGUAGGGAAUUUUCGUCAAUGGGGGGAACCGUGAACGAGCAAUGCCGCGUGAGUGAAGACGGUUUUCGCACUGUAAAGCUCUGUUGUAAGAGAAAAACGGCCGACAUAGGGAAUGAGUCGGAGUGAUGGUAUCUUACCAGAAAGU